This 565-nucleotide ribosomal RNA is filed under the name uncultured bacterium. RNAcentral's name for it is "bacterial SSU rRNA". It matches the Rfam family "Bacterial small subunit ribosomal RNA", at positions 338 to 916 of the family's 1533-position model. The record is from RNAcentral.
CCUACGGGAGGCAGCAGUGGGGAAUCUUGUGCAAUGGACGAAAGUCUGACACAGCCCCGCCGCGUGCGGGAAGAAGGCCUUCGGGUUGUAAACCGCUUUCAGCAGGAACGAAAAUGACGGUACCUGCAGAAGAAGAUGCGGCCAACUACGUGCCAGCAGCCGCGGUGAUACGUAGGCAUCAAGCGUUGUCCGGAUUUAUUGGGCGUAAAGAGCUCGUAGGCGGUUCAGCAAGUCGGGUGUGAAAACUCUGGGCUUAACCCAGAGCCUGCACUCGAAACUGCUGUGACUAGAGUUCGGUAGGGGAGCAGGGAAUUCCUAGUGUAGCGGUGAAAUGCGCAGAUAUUAGGAGGAACACCAAUGGCGAAGGCACUGCUCUGGGCCGAUACUGACGCUGAGGAGCGAGAGCGUGGGUAGCAAACAGGAUUAGAUACCCUGGUAGUCCACGCCGUAAACGAUGGGCACUAGGUGUGGGUCUCUAACCAACGAGAUCUGCGCCGUCGCUAACGCAUUAAGUGCCCCGCCUGGGGAGUACGGUCGCAAGACUAAAACUUAAAGGAAUUGACGG